UCGAAAUUGGUAGACGCUACGGACUUAAAAUCCGUUGGCUUUAUUGACCGUGAGGGUUCAAGUCCCUCUACCCCCA
Molecule: transfer RNA, 76 nt
Filed under: Brachytheciastrum velutinum
Lineage: Eukaryota; Viridiplantae; Streptophyta; Bryopsida; Hypnales; Brachytheciaceae
Description: partial tRNA-Leu
Rfam family: tRNA
About the family: Transfer RNA (tRNA) molecules are approximately 80 nucleotides in length. Their secondary structure includes four short double-helical elements and three loops (D, anti-codon, and T loops).
Source: RNAcentral